RNAcentral lists this ribosomal RNA (337 nucleotides) under Mantidactylus radaka. RNAcentral describes it as "partial 16S ribosomal RNA". It matches the Rfam family "Bacterial large subunit ribosomal RNA", at positions 2017 to 2520 of the family's 2925-position model. The record is from RNAcentral. Lineage: Eukaryota; Metazoa; Chordata; Amphibia; Anura; Mantellidae.
UGUCUCCUUUCUCUAAUCAGUGAAACUAAUCUCCCCGUGAAGAAGCGGGGAUACCACCAUAAGACGAGAAGACCCCAUGGAGCUUUAAACCCAACUACACCCCCACUUUCCAUACCCACUCAACCAACAGGGCCCUGUACACUUGGUUUUAGGUUGGGGUGACCGCGGAGCAAAAUCAAACCUCCACAAUGAACGAGAAUAAUCUCUUAUCUAAGAGCCACACCUCUAAGAAUUAGCACACUAACAUAAAAUGAUCCGAUAAUCGAUCAACGAACCAAGUUACCCUGGGGAUAACAGCGCAAUCCAUUUCAAGAGCCCCUAUCGACAAAUGGGUUUA